UACGUAGGGGGCAAGCGUUGUCCGGAAUUAUUGGGCGUAAAGAGCGUGUAGGCGGUCCGGUAAGUCAGCUGUGAAAGUCAAGGGCUCAACCCUUGAAUGCCGGUUGAUACUGUCGGGCUAGAGUCCGGAAGAGGCGAGUGGAAUUCCCGGUGUAGCGGUGAAAUGCGCAGAUAUCGGGAGGAACACCAAUGGCGAAGGCAGCUCUCUGGGACGGUACUGACGCUGAGACGCGAAAGCGUGGGGAGCAAACAGG
This 253-nucleotide ribosomal RNA is filed under the name uncultured bacterium. RNAcentral describes it as "partial 16S ribosomal RNA". It matches the Rfam family "Bacterial small subunit ribosomal RNA", at positions 524 to 776 of the family's 1533-position model. The record is from RNAcentral.